GACGAACGCUGGCGGCGUGCUUAACACAUGCAAGUCGAACGGAAAGGCCCUGCUUUUGUGGGGUGCUCGAGUGGCGAACGGGUGAGUAACACGUGAGUAACCUGCCCUUGACUUUGGGAUAACUUCAGGAAACUGGGGCUAAUACCGUAUAGGAUCUCCUGCUGCAUUGUGGGGUUGGAAAGUUUCGGCGGUUGGGGAUUGACUCGCGGCUUAUCAGCUUGUUGGGUGGGUAGGGGCUUACCAAGGCUUUGCCGGGUAGCCGGCCUGAGAGGGUGACCGGCCACAUUGGGACUGAGAUACGGCCCAGACUCCUACGGGAGGCAGCAGUGGGGAAUAUUGCACAAUGGGCGGAAGCCUGAUGCAGCAACGCCGCGUGCGGGAUGACGGCCUUCGGGUUGUAAACCGCUUUCGCCUGUGACGAAGCGUGAGUGACGGUAAUGGGUAAAGAAGCACCGGCUAACUACGUG
This 467-nucleotide ribosomal RNA is filed under the name uncultured bacterium. RNAcentral describes it as "partial 16S ribosomal RNA". It matches the Rfam family "Bacterial small subunit ribosomal RNA", at positions 28 to 507 of the family's 1533-position model. The record is from RNAcentral.